Molecule: non-coding RNA, 104 nt
Filed under: Richelia sp. SL_2_1
Lineage: Bacteria; Bacillati; Cyanobacteriota; Cyanophyceae; Nostocales; Nostocaceae
Source: RNAcentral
GGGGUAGACAGGUUUCGCUUCGAUAUGCGUUUGAGCUUAAAAGGCCUACAAUGAAUGAGCGAGUAUAUUGAAUGACGAGGGUUCAAUUCCCUCCUACUCCACUU